Molecule: transfer RNA, 71 nt
Filed under: Candidatus Amesiibacteriota bacterium
Lineage: Bacteria; Candidatus Amesiibacteriota
Description: Candidatus Amesbacteria bacterium tRNA-Trp
Rfam family: tRNA
About the family: Transfer RNA (tRNA) molecules are approximately 80 nucleotides in length. Their secondary structure includes four short double-helical elements and three loops (D, anti-codon, and T loops). Further hydrogen bonds mediate the characteristic L-shaped molecular structure. tRNAs have two regions of fundamental functional importance: the anti-codon, which is responsible for specific mRNA codon recognition, and the 3' end, to which the tRNAs corresponding amino acid is attached (by aminoacyl-tRNA synthetases). tRNAs cope with the degeneracy of the genetic code in two manners: having more than one tRNA (with a specific anti-codon) for a particular amino acid; and 'wobble' base-pairing, i.e. permitting non-standard base-pairing at the 3rd anti-codon position.
Source: RNAcentral
AGGGAUGUGGUGAAACGGUAUCACGGCACUCUCCAAAAGUGCUUUUCCAGGUUCAAGUCCUGGCAUCCCUG